RNAcentral lists this ribosomal RNA (1412 nucleotides) under Powellitheca sp. n. RJO-2020. RNAcentral describes it as "SSU rRNA". It matches the Rfam family "Eukaryotic small subunit ribosomal RNA", at positions 293 to 1718 of the family's 1831-position model. Lineage: Eukaryota; Metazoa; Bryozoa; Gymnolaemata; Cheilostomatida; Powellithecidae. The record is from RNAcentral.
CCUACACUGAGUUUCUGAUCUAUCAUGCUGACGACGGUUGGUGCUAUGCCAACCGUGGCGUUAACGGAUAACAGAGAAUCUGGGUUCGAUUCUGGAGAGGCCGCAUGAGAAACGGCGACCACUUCUAAGGAAGGCAGCAGGCACGCAAAUUACCCACUUCGGACACCGAGAGGUAGUGACGAACAAUACCGAUGCGGCGCACUAAUGUGUCGCCGUAAUCGGAAUGAGUACACUUCAAAUCCUUUAACGAGGAUCCACUGGAGGGCAAGCCUGGUGCCAGCAGCCGCGGUAAUUCCAGCUCCAGCAGCGUAUAUUUAUAUUGCUGCGUUUAAAAAGCUCGUAGUUGAAGCGUCAGACGCGGGAGGGCGGACGGCCGCACAGGUCGCUCUCGCCCGACCGAGCCAGGCGCAGAGGGCGCGCGUCGCUUGCACUUCGCCGUGUGAGCGCGCCGCCGCUGCACGUUCACCUUGAAGAAAUUGAACCGCUUAGAGGGGGCGAGCAGCUUGAACAGCUCAGCAUGGUAUGAUGGAACAUGGGCUCGUACUCAUUUUGUUGGUUAGAGAGUCGGCGAGCCAAUGAUUAACAGGGACUGCCGGGGGCAUUCGUACUCGGACGGGAGAGGUGAAAUUCAAGGAUCGUCCGAAGACGCCCUACUGCGAAAGCAUUUGCCAAGAAUGUUUUCAUUAAUCAAGAACGAAAGUCAGAGGUGCGAAGGCGAUCAGAUACCGCCGUAGUUCUGACCGUAAACGAUGCCGACUGGCAAUUGGGCGCACUUCUGUCGAAGUUGCCGCCAGCAGUACUGCCCGGGAAACCAAAGUCAUUGGGUUCCGGGGGGAGUAUGGUUGCAAAGCUGAAACUUAAAGGAAUUGACGGAAGGGCACCACCAGGAGUGGAGCCUGCGGCUUAAUUUGACUCAACACGGGAAACCUCACCCGGCCCGAACACUGUUAUGACAGACAGGUUGAGAGCUCUUUCUCGAUUCAGUGGUUGGUGGUGCAUGGCCGUUCUUAGUUCGUGGAGCGAUCUGUCUGGUUAAUUCCGAUAACGAACGAGACUCUUGCCUGCUAAAUAGACGGCGCCGCCUUUGCUCGGCGACCGUUCGCUUCUUAGAGGGACAAGCGGCUUUUAGCCGCGUGAAGCCGAGAGCAAUAACAGGUCAGUGAUGCCCUCAGAUGUUCGGGGCCGCACGCGCGCUACACUGUUUGCAUCAGCGUGUUACUCCCGCGCCGGCUGGCGUGGGCAACCCGUUGAACCGCAAACGUGCUAGGGAUCGGAGAUUGCAAUUGUUCUCCGUGAACGAGGAAUUCCUUGUACUGGCGAGUCAUCAGCUCGCGGGGAAUCUGUCCCUGCCCUUUGUACACACCGCCCGUCGCUACUACCGAUUGAGUGGUUUAGUGAGGCUCACGGACUGC